UGGAAAACAGCCUUGUGUCUUUCUCCCUGGUCUGCUCUACUUGAGCUCACUGGACCCUGGACAUCAGAAAACCCCAACUGCCCCCGCCACCAAGAAAGAUGGCAGCUCGGUCUCUCAGCCAAAGCCACAGGAGGCCAAGGAACUGCCUCCUCCAGGAGACCUACAGACCAAGCCCAGUGCCGCCCAGGCAGUGGAGAAGCCCUUGGCUACUACAGAAAGCCAUGCUUGGAGCCUGCAGGGACAGUAUGGGCAGUCCCUAAGUGAAGAUGGUCCUUGUCCCCAGGAAGCCAGACACGUGGCUGAAAACAGAACAAGCCAAGGGCUGGAUGUUUCCAGAAGCUCGAAGGAAGAAGCCCGAGAAGAGGCACACUCUGAGUCAGAGCAGCAAAGGUGUGGAACA
Molecule: long non-coding RNA, 400 nt
Organism: Rattus rattus (black rat)
Lineage: Eukaryota; Metazoa; Chordata; Mammalia; Rodentia; Muridae
Exons: 4
Source: RefSeq, a predicted model, not a curated record